UACGGAGGGAGCUAGCGUUGUUCGGAAUUACUGGGCGUAAAGCGCACGUAGGCGGCUUUUUAAGUCAGGGGUGAAAUCCCGGGGCUCAACCCCGGAACUGCCUUUGAAACUGGGAAGCUAGAAUCCUGGAGAGGCGAGUGGAAUUCCGAGUGUAGAGGUGAAAUUCGUAGAUAUUCGGAAGAACACCAGUGGCGAAGGCGACUCGCUGGACAGGUAUUGACGCUGAGGUGCGAAAGCGUGGGGAGCAAACAGG
RNAcentral lists this ribosomal RNA (253 nucleotides) under uncultured bacterium. RNAcentral describes it as "partial 16S ribosomal RNA". It matches the Rfam family "Bacterial small subunit ribosomal RNA", at positions 524 to 776 of the family's 1533-position model. The record is from RNAcentral.